This 247-nucleotide unclassified non-coding RNA is filed under the name Hevea brasiliensis (rubber tree). Lineage: Eukaryota; Viridiplantae; Streptophyta; Magnoliopsida; Malpighiales; Euphorbiaceae. The record is from RNAcentral.
AUCUUCUUGUUCAGAAAAAGGCUCUGUAUGAAGAUAAAGAGCAAUUAUCACAGCAAGAGUACAUAAAAGGAAUCAGUGCCUGGAAUUUCAACCUUGAGGAUUUGAAAAGUCAGGCUGCUCUUAUUCAGGAUUUUGAUGGCAUAUCAAAUGCAGAAGAUCCAGAUAUGGGCAUGAAGCAGAGGCACAGGCACAAUAAUGUUGAGCUUACAGCUGAGAGGCUGUCCCAUGAAAGGGCUAACCAUUCAAC